Molecule: ribosomal RNA, 420 nt
Filed under: uncultured eukaryote
Lineage: Eukaryota
Description: SSU rRNA
Rfam family: Eukaryotic small subunit ribosomal RNA
Source: RNAcentral
CAAUAGCGUAUAUUAAUGUUGUUGCAGUUAAAAGCUCGUAGUUGGAUUUCUGACAAGAGCGGCCGGUCCGAACCUUCGGGUUCGUGUACUUUGUGUUGUCUCUAGUCAUCCUUAUGGAGAACGUGUGUGGCAUUAACUUGUCGUGCUCGGGACCCAUAUCGUUUACUGUGAAAAAUUAGAGUGUUCAAAGCAGGCAAUCGCUGUGAAUACAUUAGCAUGGAAUAAUAAGAUAGGACUUUGGUACUAUUUUGUUGGUUUGCAUACCAAGGUAAUGAUUAAGAGGGACAGUUGGGGGUAUUCGUAUUUAUAUGUCAGAGGUGAAAUUCUUGGAUUUUAGAAAGACGAACUACUGCGAAAGCAUUUACCAAGGAUGUUUUCAUUAAUCAAGAACGAAAGUUAGGGGAUCGAAGACGAUUAGAU